GCACUAGCGCGGUGGUCCCACGGUCCCACCUGACCCCAUGCCGAACUCAGAAGUGAAACGCCGUAGCGCCGAUGGUAGUGUGGGGUCUCCCCAUGUGAGAGUAGGGAACUGCCAGGC
This 117-nucleotide ribosomal RNA is filed under the name Klebsiella pneumoniae. The record is from RNAcentral. Lineage: Bacteria; Pseudomonadati; Pseudomonadota; Gammaproteobacteria; Enterobacterales; Enterobacteriaceae.